This 52-nucleotide transfer RNA is filed under the name Kengyilia rigidula. RNAcentral's name for it is "partial tRNA-His". The record is from RNAcentral. Lineage: Eukaryota; Viridiplantae; Streptophyta; Magnoliopsida; Poales; Poaceae.
CGCGCAUGGUGGAUUCACUAUCCACUGCCUUGAUCCACUUGGCUACAUCCGC